AGUGGAUGGGGAGCAACCUAGUUGUGCGUGUGUAAAGGUAGUGCCAAGAAAAGCGAUGAUCAUGUUGAAAAUCAAUUCCCGGUACCCGAAACCGACACAGGUGGGCAAGUAGAGAAUACUAAGGGGCGCGAGGUAACUCUCUCCAAGGAACUCGGCAAAAUGACCCCGUAACUUAGGGAGAAGGGGUGCCACCGAGAGGUGGUCGCAGUGAAGAGGCCCAGGCGACUGUUUAGCAAAAACAUAGGUCUCUGCAAACUCGAAAGAGGAGGUAUAGGGGCUGACGCCUGCCCAGUGCCGGAAGGUUAAAGAAGUUGGUCAGUUUUAGGAUGAAGCUAGCGACUGAAGCCCCGGUGAACGGCGGCCGUAACUAUAACGGUCCUAAGGUAGCGAAAUUCCUUGUCGGGUAAGUUCCGACCCGCACGAAAGGCGUAACGAUCUUGGCGCUGUCUCGGAGAGAGGCUCGGCGAAAUAGGAUUGUCUGUGAAGAUACGGACUACCUGCAUUUGGACAGAAAGACCCUAUGAAGCUUUACUAUAGCUUGGAAUUGUGUUCGGGCUUCCUGUGCGCAGGAUAGGUGGGAGGCGAAGAAGGUAUUCUUGUGGGGAUACUGGAGCCAACGGUGAGAUACCACUCUCAGGAGGCUAGAAUUCUAACUUAAUUAAGGACAGUUUCAGGUGGGUAGUUUGACUGGGGCGGUCGCCUCCAAAAAGGUAACGGAGGCGUACAAAGGUUCCCUCAGACUGGUUGGAAAUCAGUCGAAGAGUGCAAAGGCAGAAGGGAGCUUGACUGCGAGAAGUACAGUUCGAGCAGGGUGGAAACACGGUCUUAGUGAUCCGACGGUGCUGUGUGGAAGGGCCGUCGCUCAACGGAUAAAAGUUACUCUAGGAUAACAGGCUGAUCUCCCCCAAGAGUUCACAUCGACGGGGAGGUUUGGCACCUCGAUGUCGGCUCAUCGCAACCUGGGGCGGAAGUACGUCCCAAGGGUUGGGCUGUUCGCCCAUUAAAGCGGUACGUGAGCUGGGUUCAGAACGUCGUGAGACAGUUCGGUCCAUAUCCGAUGUAGGCGUGAGAAUAUUGAGAGGAGCCUUCCUUAGUACGAGAGGACCGGGAAGGACGCACCGCUGGUGUACCUGUUAUGAUGCCAAUUGUAAACGCAGGGUAGCCAAGUGCGGAGAGGAUAACCGCUGAAAGCAUCUAAGUGGGAAGCCCACCUCAAGAUGAGUAUUCUGGUGUAAGGUCACGGGAAGACGACCCGUAAAUAGGCACGAGGUGGAAGUGCAGAGAUGUAUGAAGCCGAAGUGUACUAAUAGACCGUCGGCUUGACU
Molecule: ribosomal RNA, 1325 nt
Filed under: metagenome
Description: bacterial LSU rRNA
Rfam family: Bacterial large subunit ribosomal RNA
Source: RNAcentral